UAGGCAAGCAGGCAGAAAUCACUCUGCUCGAAUACAUUAGCAUGGGAUAAUGGCAAUAGGACCCUGUCCUCCUAUUUUCAGUUGGUUUUGGCAGCGCGAGGACUAGGGUAAUGAUUAAUAGGGAUAGUUGGGGGCAUUAAUAUUUAAUUGUCAGAGGUGAAAUUCUUGGAUUUAUGAAAGAUUAACUUCUGCGAAAGCAUCUGCCAAGGAUGUUUUCAUUAAUCAAGAACGAAAGUUAGGGGAUCGAAGACGAUCAGAUACCGUCGUAGUCUUAACCAUAAACGAUGCCGACCAGCGAUUAGGAGACGUUGAAUACAAAACACCACCAUCGGCGCGGUCGUCCCUGGCUCGUCGUCUCACGACGGCGGGCGGGGGCGGUUUAGCCCGAUGGCACCGGUGAAUGACUCCCCUAGCA
RNAcentral lists this ribosomal RNA (415 nucleotides) under Acanthamoeba sp. IS7/T4. RNAcentral describes it as "SSU rRNA". It matches the Rfam family "Eukaryotic small subunit ribosomal RNA", at positions 777 to 1085 of the family's 1831-position model. Lineage: Eukaryota; Discosea; Longamoebia; Acanthamoebidae. The record is from RNAcentral.